This 274-nucleotide ribosomal RNA is filed under the name uncultured bacterium. Its description in RNAcentral is "partial 16S ribosomal RNA". It matches the Rfam family "Bacterial small subunit ribosomal RNA", at positions 523 to 796 of the family's 1533-position model. The record is from RNAcentral.
AUACGGGGGGUGCAGGCGUUAAUCGGAAUUACUGGGCGUAAAGCGCGCGUAGGCGGUUUGCUCAGUCGGAUGUGAAAGCCCAGGGCUCAACCUUGGAACUGCAUACGAUACUGGCAAACUAGAGUGUGAGAGAGGAUAGUGGAAUUUCCGGUGUAGCGGUGAAAUGCGUAGAUAUCGGAAGGAACAUCAGUGGCGAAGGCGACUGUCUGGCUCAACACUGACGCUGAGGUGCGAAAGCGUGGGUAGCAAACAGGAUUAGAUACCCUAGUAGUCC